Molecule: ribosomal RNA, 240 nt
Filed under: uncultured bacterium
Lineage: Bacteria
Description: partial 16S ribosomal RNA
Rfam family: Bacterial small subunit ribosomal RNA
Source: RNAcentral
GGUGGAGCAAAACUCAAAAAAUAGAUCUCAGUUCGGACUGUAGGCUGCAACUCGCCUACACGAAGUUGGAAUUGCUAGUAAUCGUGGAUCAGCAUGCCACGGUGAAUACGUUCCCGGGUCUUGUACACACCGCCCGUCACACCAUGGGAGCUGGUAACACCCGAAGUCAGUAGUCUAACCGCAAGGAGGACGCUGCCGAAGGUGGGAUUAGCGACUGGGGUGAAGUCGUAACAAGGUACC